Molecule: ribosomal RNA, 251 nt
Filed under: uncultured beta proteobacterium
Lineage: Bacteria; Pseudomonadati; Pseudomonadota; Betaproteobacteria
Description: partial 16S ribosomal RNA
Rfam family: Bacterial small subunit ribosomal RNA
Source: RNAcentral
AACGUGCCCAGGAGUGGGGGACAACCUCGAGAAAUCAAGGCUAAUACCGCAUACGUCCUGAGGGAGAAAGCCGGGGGAUUCGCAAGGACCUCGCGCUCAUGGAGCGGCCGAUGUCGGAUUAGCUAGUUGGCGGGGUAAAAGCCCACCAAGGGCUACGAUCCGUAGCUGGUUUGAGAGAACGACCAGCCACACUGGGACUGAGACACGGCCCANACUCCUACGGGAGGCAGCANUGGGGAAUUUUGGACAAU